CAGUGGGGAAUUUUGGACAAUGGGGGAAACCCUGAUCCAGCAAUGCCGCGUGUGCGAAGAAGGCCUUCGGGUUGUAAAGCACUUUUGUCAGGGAAGAAAAUGUUUGGGUUAAUACCCUGAGCAGAUGACGGUACCUGAAGAAUAAGCACCGGCUAACUACGUGCCAGCAGCCGCGGUAAUACGUAGGGUGCAAGCGUUAAUCGGAAUUACUGGGCGUAAAGCGUGCGCAGGCGGUUGUGUAAGACAGGUGUGAAAUCCCCGGGCUUAACCUGGGAAUUGCAUUUGUGACUGCACGACUAGAGUGUGUCAGAGGGGGGUGGAAUUCCACGUGUAGCAGUGAAAUGCGUAGAUAUGUGGAGGAACACCAAUGGCGAAGGCAGCCCCCUGGGAUAACACUGACGCUCAUGCACGAAAGCGUGGGGAGCAAACAGGAUUAGA
Molecule: ribosomal RNA, 438 nt
Filed under: uncultured bacterium
Lineage: Bacteria
Description: bacterial SSU rRNA
Rfam family: Bacterial small subunit ribosomal RNA
Source: RNAcentral